CCUACGGGGGGCAGCAGUGGGGAAUAUUGCACAAUGGGGGGAACCCUGCUGCAGCAACGCCGCGUGGGUGAAGAAGUACUUCGGUAUGUAAAGCCCUGUCAGCAGGGAAGAAAAUGACGGUACCUGACCAAGAAGCCCCGGCUAACUACGUGCCAGCAGCCGCGGUAAUACGUAGGGGGCACGCGUUAUCCGGAUUUACGGGGGGUAAAGGGAGCGUAGACGGCAAGGCAAGUCUGGAGUGAAAGCCCGUGGCUCAACCACGGGACUGCUUUGGAAACUGUGUUGCUGGAGUGCAGGAGGGGUAAGUGGAAUUUCUAGUGUAGCGGUGAAAUGCGUAGAUAGUAGGAGGAACACCGGUGGCGAAGGCGGCUUACUGGACUGUAACUGACGUUGAGGCUCGAAGGCGUGGGGAGCAAACAGGAUUAGAUACCCUAGUAGUC
This 440-nucleotide ribosomal RNA is filed under the name uncultured bacterium. Its description in RNAcentral is "partial 16S ribosomal RNA". It matches the Rfam family "Bacterial small subunit ribosomal RNA", at positions 338 to 795 of the family's 1533-position model. The record is from RNAcentral.